GAUGAACGCUGGCAGCGUGCCUAAUACAUGCAAGUCGAGCGAACAGACGAGGAGCUUGCUCCUUUGACGUUAGCGGCGGACGGGUGAGUAACACGUAGGUAACCUACCUAUAAGACUGGGAUAACUUCGGGAAACCGGAGCUAAUACCGGAUAAUAUUUCGAACCGCAUGGUUCGAUAGUGAAAGAUGGCUUUGCUAUCACUUAUAGAUGGACCUGCGCCGUAUUAGCUAGUUGGUAAGGUAACGGCUUACCAAGGCAACGAUCCGUAGCCGACCUGAGAGGGUGAUCCGCCACACUGGAACUGAGACACGGUCCAGACCCCUACGGGAGGCAGCAGUAGGGAAUCUUCCGCAAUGGGCGAAAGCCUGACGGAGCAACGCCGCGUGAGUGAUGAAGGUCUUCGGAUCGUAAAACUCCGUUAUUAGGGAAGAACAAACGUGUAAGUAACUGUGCACGUCUUGACGGUACCUAAUCAGAAAGCCACGGCUAACUACGUG
Molecule: ribosomal RNA, 497 nt
Filed under: uncultured bacterium
Lineage: Bacteria
Description: partial 16S ribosomal RNA
Rfam family: Bacterial small subunit ribosomal RNA
Source: RNAcentral